Long non-coding RNA from Lycium ferocissimum, 457 nucleotides. RefSeq lists it as uncharacterized. The record is from RefSeq and is a predicted model, not a curated record. NCBI's taxonomy places the organism in Eukaryota, Viridiplantae, Streptophyta, Magnoliopsida, Solanales, Solanaceae. The transcript has 3 exons.
AAAAAAAAAAAAAAAAUCCAUAAUAGAUCAGCUUCCAAAAUCACCAAAAACCCACAACAGAACAUUAAAAAGGAAAAAAAACGACAAUUGGAACACAUAUAAAUGAACAAUAGCAAAAACUACAAGGGUUUAACACUAUAAAAGAACAAGGGCUAAAACUAAUGUAAGUCCAUAUAAAGACACCACCCAUCUCAUCAAUCACCGAUGUGGUACUUUUCUCAUUCUUCAACAACUACAAGGGUUUAAGGUAGGCUAACAAUCACCAAAAAAACCCACAACAGAACAUUAAAAAGAAACAAAUUAAAGAAUACAAAGAGUUCGAGGUAGGUAAAAAAUUUGUACCUUUUGGGCCUCAAACCCAUCGAAAAAAUUGAGGAAAAUUGCAAGCAGAGAGCAAAGAAGAGUGAAAACAAGAGUUUCAGUGAAGCCCCAAAUUUGAUCACAGCCAAACAAGACC